RNAcentral lists this ribosomal RNA (476 nucleotides) under Methanoplanus sp. enrichment culture clone CIBANICRA-57. RNAcentral describes it as "bacterial SSU rRNA". It matches the Rfam family "Archaeal small subunit ribosomal RNA", at positions 294 to 774 of the family's 1478-position model. Lineage: Archaea; Methanobacteriati; Methanobacteriota; Methanomicrobia; Methanomicrobiales; Methanomicrobiaceae. The record is from RNAcentral.
AUCUGGGGAUCUGAGACUCGAUUCAGGCCCUACGGGGCGCAGCAGGCGCGAAAACUUUACAAUGCAGGAAACUGUGAUAAGGGAACCCCGAGUGCCCGUAUAUGCGGGCUGUCCGGAUGUUUAAAACGCAUCCGAAGAAAGGGCCGGGCAAGACCGGUGCCAGCCGCCGCGGUAAUACCGGCGGCUCGAGUGGUGGCCACUUUUAUUGGGCUUAAAGCGUUCGUAGCUUGAAUAAUAAGUCUCUUGGGAAAUCUGCAGGCUUAACCUGCAGGCGUUUAAGAGAAACUGUUGUUCUAGGAACCGGAAGAGGUGAGAGGUACUCCGGGGGUAGGAGUGAAAUCCUGUAAUCCCCGGGGGACCACCGAUGGCGAAGGCAUCUCACCAGGACGGCUUCGACAGUGAGGAACGAAAGCUGGGGGAGCGAACCGGAUUAGAUACCCGGGUAGUCCCAGCCGUAAACAAUGCGCGUUAGGUGA